This 1172-nucleotide ribosomal RNA is filed under the name Ensifer meliloti. Its description in RNAcentral is "Sinorhizobium meliloti bacterial SSU rRNA". It matches the Rfam family "Bacterial small subunit ribosomal RNA". The record is from RNAcentral. Lineage: Bacteria; Pseudomonadati; Pseudomonadota; Alphaproteobacteria; Hyphomicrobiales; Rhizobiaceae.
GCGAGUCGAGCGCCCCGCAAGGGGAGCGGCAGACGGGUGAGUAACGCGUGGGAAUCUACCCUUUUCUACGGAAUAACGCAGGGAAACUUGUGCUAAUACCGUAUGAGCCCUUCGGGGGAAAGAUUUAUCGGGAAAGGAUGAGCCCGCGUUGGAUUAGCUAGUUGGUGGGGUAAAGGCCUACCAAGGCGACGAUCCAUAGCUGGUCUGAGAGGAUGAUCAGCCACAUUGGGACUGAGACACGGCCCAAACUCCUACGGGAGGCAGCAGUGGGGAAUAUUGGACAAUGGGCGCAAGCCUGAUCCAGCCAUGCCGCGUGAGUGAUGAAGGCCCUAGGGUUGUAAAGCUCUUUCACCGGUGAAGAUAAUGACGGUAACCGGAGAAGAAGCCCCGGCUAACUUCGUGCCAGCAGCCGCGGUAAUACGAAGGGGGCUAGCGUUGUUCGGAUUACUGGGGCGUAAAGCGCACGUAGCCGGAUUGUUAAGUGAGGGGGUGAAAUCCCAGGGCUCAACCCUGGGAACUGCCCUUUUCAUACUGGGCAAUCUAGAGUCAAGAAGAAGGUGGAGGUGGAUUUCUUGGGGAAGGUACGGGUCGCAAGGAAUAAAAACUCCAAAAGAAUUGACGGGGGGCCCCGCACCAAGCCGGUGGAAGCAUGUUGGUUUAAUUCGAAAGCAAACGCGCAGAACCCUUACCAGCCCUGACAUCCCGAUCGCGGGAUACGAGAGAUCGUAUUCUUCAGUUCGGCUGGAUCGGAGACAGGUGCUGCAUGGCUGUCGUCAGCUCGUGUCGUGAGAUGUUGGGUUAAGUCCCGCAACGAGCGCAACCCUCGCCCUUAGUUGCCAGCAUUCAGUUGGGCACUCUAAGGGGACUGCCGGUGAUAAGCCGAGAGGAAGGUGGGGAUGACGUCAAGUCCUCAUGGCCCUUACGGGCUGGGCUACACACGUGCUACAAUGGUGGUGACAGUGGGCAGCGAGACCGCGAGGUCGAGCUAAUCUCCAAAAGCCAUCUCAGUUCGGAUUGCACUCUGCAACUCGAGUGCAUGAAGUUGGAAUCGCUAGUAAUCGCAGAUCAGCAUGCUGCGGUGAAUACGUUCCCGGGCCUUGUACACACCGCCCGUCACACCAUGGGAGUUGGUUCUACCCGAAGGUAGUGCGCUAACCGCAAGGAGGCAGCUA